Molecule: ribosomal RNA, 18 nt
Filed under: Trichoderma harzianum
Lineage: Eukaryota; Fungi; Ascomycota; Sordariomycetes; Hypocreales; Hypocreaceae
Also listed under: 4 other names
Description: partial 28S ribosomal RNA
Source: RNAcentral
UGACCUCGAUCAGGUAGG